RNAcentral lists this ribosomal RNA (301 nucleotides) under uncultured bacterium. RNAcentral's name for it is "partial 16S ribosomal RNA". It matches the Rfam family "Bacterial small subunit ribosomal RNA", at positions 509 to 807 of the family's 1533-position model. The record is from RNAcentral.
CAGUCGCCGCGGUAAUACGAAGGGGGCUAGCGUUGUUCGGAAUCACUGGGCGUAAAGCGCACGUAGGCGGACACUUAAGUCAGAGGUGAAAUCCCAAGGCUCAACCUUGGAACUGCCUUUGAUACUGGGUGUCUUGAGGUCGAGAGAGGUGAGUGGAACUGCGAGUGUAGAGGUGAAAUUCGUAGAUAUUCGCAAGAACACCAGUGGCGAAGGCGGCUCACUGGCUCGAUUCUGACGCUGAGGUGCGAAAGCGUGGGGAGCAAACAGGAUUAGAGACCCCUGUAGUCCCUGUCUCUUAUAC